UACGUAGGGUGCGAGCGUUGUCCGGAAUUAUUGGGCGUAAAGGGCUCGUAGGCGGUCUGUUGCGUCGGUAGUGAAAACUCAGGGCUUAACCCUGAGCCUGCUUCCGAUACGGGCAGACUAGAGGUAUGCAGGGGAGAACGGAAUUCCUGGUGUAGCGGUGAAAUACGCAGAUAUCAGGAGGAACACCGGUGGCGAAGGCGGUUCUCUGGGCAUUACCUGACGCUGAGGAGCGAAAGUGUGGGGAGCGAACAGG
RNAcentral lists this ribosomal RNA (253 nucleotides) under uncultured bacterium. RNAcentral describes it as "partial 16S ribosomal RNA". It matches the Rfam family "Bacterial small subunit ribosomal RNA", at positions 524 to 776 of the family's 1533-position model. The record is from RNAcentral.